Non-coding RNA from Podarcis muralis (Common wall lizard), 3453 nucleotides. The record is from RefSeq and is a predicted model, not a curated record. Lineage: Eukaryota; Metazoa; Chordata; Lepidosauria; Squamata; Lacertidae.
GAGUUUCAGGAGGGAGAGGCAGAAUUGCAGUGAGUGAGGAGGUUGCCUUUGCAUUCAGUGUCGCCUGGCUGCCUUUGCAUUCGGUGUCGCCGCGGAGCGCAACCCGAAAAUAUUCAUCCCGAAGCUACUUCAACCUGAGAAAAACUGUGCAGGUGCCAAACAUUCUCCAGUACCCAUCAAGACAAAUGUAAUUAUUUUCCUUUUAAAUGAGACCAGAAUGGUUUAUUUUGCCAACUAUAACAUGCAGUCCUUACACGUUUGUAUCAGAUACUGGGGAACAAUCUUAUUUAAAACUGGCAGCUAAUAACAGAUGUUAGGAAGAUCACUAGGAAGAUUCUCAUUUAGGGGAUGUAAUAUGCAUCAGAGUUUGGGAAGUUACAUUCUCCAGCUACUGCGAGAGGCAAAAAGAAAGAAAUAAAGAAAGAAGUUCAAAGCAAGGGCGGGGAGAGAGAGAGUUGGCUAAAGGUGAACAGUCCCUAAUCUUCCAUCCAACCUACUUAAAUUUCAGCAAGUGCUAUUCUUAAAGGGAAGCUAACUCAUGUGUGAAUCUAAGCAAAAUCAUUUGGAUUCCAUAUGUAUGGUAGUCCAGGUGCUAUUCUGUAUAAAAGAGUAUAUGCAUACAACUCCUGAUAGCUGAAUAAUAUAAAUCAAAGAGAUUGUACGGUAUCUUAAAGAAAAGAAAAAAGGAUACAGUAAACUAGGUGAUUUGAUAAAAAAAACCCAAUUCUUAAUUGUAUACGGUGAAAGUUUGGUGGAAGGAGACCAGGCCACAAAUCUAUCUGCCUGGAGCUCUUUCACAUGUUUUCACCAGCCAUAGCUCAGGUGGAAGCAGGAUGCAUAAACAGGCCCCUGCGUCUGACUUUAAUAGAUAGACAGGAUCAUAUGCAAGGAGAUGGUCCUUCAGCUAUGAAGAAAGCCAGUGUAGUACAACAGUGUAAAUAUGAAUAGCUGUGGAGUGCACUACAGCAGUGGACCCUAAAUGCAUAGAGUUAAUGUUUCUCCUACCCAAAACUAAAAUGAGACAAAAAGCAUAGCCAAGGCAACAGAAAGCUCAGAUAGUGCAAAUUGACCAUGGGAGCAAGGUCAGAUACCACUUUGCAGCCCCCACAUUCAAUCCAAAUGUUUCCUGAACUCUUUUCUGCAAAGAUAACCAAACUCUGUACUAAAAAAGCAUUCAGUGUUCUUCUCAUGAACAAAACAAAUAAUAAAAGCAUGUAUUGAUGCCACAUAUCCUGAUGCAAGGCUAUAUUUUAUUGUAUUCCAUAUCACUGCUCAGGAUGUUGGAACCACAGGCAGGAUGCGAUUUGCUUAUAGUUUAACCACAGGUGAAUGUCAUGUCAAUAAAUAUAACUCAGCCUGUUUCACUCUUCCUGCAUCACCAAUUUGUAGCAGCUUAAUGCUAGCACAGUAACACAAUGGUGAAAGAGGACUCUAUUCUUUUAUUUCUGGUGCCUCUGCCUCCUGUGUUCUGCCUCACCAUUACUCAAAUUUCUCUGUUGUAGCAGGUCAAAAUGCGGUGUGCAAGCACCAUCUGACCUGUUUUUAAGGGGUAAAUUUCAGCUCUUGCAUCCUGAAGAUGUGGACAGAGUGCUUGCAACUGUUUGCCCAGCUCUCUGGGCACUCUUCUUAAUCCUGGGGUGGGUCCAGGGUCCAAUCUGCCUGCUGCCCUUAAACCUGCAUCUACUUCUGAAGCCCACUCUUGACAUGGAGGGUUCUUGACAACAACCACCCAGUCACAAAUAGCUCCAUCCUGGACUAGAGGCAUCAGUGUGGUGGCAGUGCAGUUACAGGAGCUUCUGGAGAAUAUUGGUUAGCUGGACCUGUUCCAAUCUGAGUUCAAGCUGCAUUUUGGAACCAGAUCAAUCUUGUUUCCCCUGAGGGGUGACCUUUAUCAGAAGAAGGAAAGGGAGAUUGUGAUGCUGUUUCUACUUGAUCUCUCAGAGGCUGUUGGUACCAAGAAUCAUGGCAUCCUCCUAGACAGCUUUUGUGAAUUAGGGGGAUUCCACUCCUACCUACAGAACUGGUUAUAGAGAAUAGGGUUGGGUGACAUCACCUCAGUCCACCAGCUAUCGUAGUGUGGUGUGCUGCAGAAUAACAUAUUGUCCACAGUGUUAUUUAACAUCUACAUGAAACCGCUGGAAGCAGCUGUUAAAUAGCAAUGUGUAGUUUGUCAUUCCCUCAUGUGAAAUGUAAAAGGUAGAACACCUCAACUUGCAACCAACAACUCAGUGGAUGGUUUCAACACUUUUUGCUGCUCCAUCACACUGUUGUACGCCAGGGAUGGGGAACCUCUGGCUCCUCAGAUGCUGCUGGAAUAUAACUCCCAUCAUCCCUGGCCAAGCCAGCUGAGGUUGAUAGGAAAUGGAGUCCAACAACCUACGAGGUGGAAAACCAGUGAUCCUCUAGCUGUACACUGUCUUGAGUUGCUAGGAGGGAGGGCAAAAUAUAAAUGUAAUAAAAUGAUAAUGCUAUCAGAUAUUGUUUAGAAGGGCAAAGUUUCCCUUUAAGUUUUUAUACAUAUAGGUACAAACAUAUGGCUACCUUUUCCCCCCUCAGGAAGAUUGUACCAUAGGAAAGCCAUGUCUCCUACGGAGCUUUACAGUGCAAUCCUAAACACAUUUACUUAGAAGUAAAUUCCACUGUUUUCAGUGGUGCUUACUCCCUAGCAAGUGUAUUUAGGAUUCAAGCCUUAAGCAAUUUAAGAGUGUGGCCCUGGGCCUCUUCCAGCACAGCACUUUGCCUCAGAAUGAAAAAUAGGAGUGCAGCGUCCUUGUUUAUUCAAAUGUACUUUGUUAGAACUCCCAUUUGAGGCUGCAACAAUCCCGCCCACAUCCACAUUCUCAAGAUUACAUCAGAACACUGGCAGGAAUUCUAAAUUCCUGGUGGAUGUCAAUUACACUCCAGGAAGCCAAGAACAUAGGAAGCCACUCACAUGCUAAAAUGAUCCUGAUGAUUGCAAAUGAGAUCUUACCUGUCACCAUCCUGAUAUUUAUCAUCAGUUUCAGCAGCAAUGAACAACUAUCCCUAGGUAACUCAUGUACACUAUGGAAGAAAACAUGUACAGUCAUGUCCUGAGACAGCAUCCUCCUAUAUAGCCUGCCUUUCCUCCACCACAAAUUGCUCAAACCAGCAUUCUUGCACUUUGCAAAGGUUCCAAAAUCCACAAUUGGGCAAUGUCUUCAUUUGGAAAGUCAAAACAUUACACGAUAGUGAGUGAGCUUUUGAUUUCUCCACAAUUUUCAAUCAGGAUAGAUGCUAGCAGGAGGAAGAAACAGGGUAGGGAAAAACACGAUUUGUGUAACAAUGUGAAGAGUUCUAGAGAACUCCAAAACUUUAUUUCUAUUUUGUGUUAUUUUUGUGUUACUAUAAAGGUAUUAAGCCACCUGUGGAUUUUAUCAUUUUCCUUAUAGAGAAACACCUCAUGUUUUAUUUGUAAUUCUUGGUCACUUUGAG